Molecule: ribosomal RNA, 457 nt
Filed under: uncultured bacterium
Lineage: Bacteria
Description: bacterial SSU rRNA
Rfam family: Bacterial small subunit ribosomal RNA
Source: RNAcentral
UACGGGAGGCAGCAGUGGGGAAUAUUGCACAAUGGGCGCAAGCCUGAUGCAGCCAUGCCGCGUGUAUGAAGAAGGCCUUCGGGUUGUAAAGUACUUUUCAGCGGGGAGGAAGGCGGUGGAGUUAAUAGCUUCACCGAUUGACGUUACCCGCAGAAGAAGCACCGGCUAACUCCGUGCCAGCAGCCGCGGUAAUACGGAGGGUGCAAGCGUUAAUCGGAAUUACUGGGCGUAAAGCGCACGCAGGCGGUCUGUCAAGUCGGAUGUGAAAUCCCCGGGCUUAACCUGGGAACUGCAUUCGAAACUGGCAGGCUAGAGUCUUGUAGAGGGGGUAGAAUUCCAGGUGUAGCGGUGAAAUGCGUAGAGAUCUGGAGGAAUACCGGUGGCGAAGGCGGCCCCUGGGACAAAGACUGACGCUCAGGUGCGAAAGCGUGGGGAGCGAAACAGGGAUUAGGAUACC